This is a long non-coding RNA of Elgaria multicarinata webbii, 423 nucleotides long. RefSeq lists it as uncharacterized. The transcript has 3 exons. The record is from RefSeq and is a predicted model, not a curated record. Lineage: Eukaryota; Metazoa; Chordata; Lepidosauria; Squamata; Anguidae.
ACGAGAGUUUUGGGGAUUGCACGGAUCGCAGGAUGGGAAGGGGGGAAACAAAGAGCCAGCCGAAAAAAAAAACCCUCCCCUUGGAACGAUAUACAGAAGAGGAGGGUGAAAAGGGAGUGGGGUGGGGGUCGCAAUUGAAAAACAGCAACAACAACACAGCCACCUCUCUCCAUCUUGGAACUCGGAGAUGUAAUCAGGGAAGAUGCAUGGAGGAUUUCUGGCGCAGCCAAAGAGAGAAAGAGGGCCGGAGGGAUCUGCUAAGUAAAAGAUCCCGCUUUUUGAAGGAUUCCUGAGGCUGCAUAUAUGAUGGAACAAGAGAAGGAAUGCCGAACUCCGGCUCUCCAGGAUUUUGAGAAUAAGACUUCCCCAGAGGCCCACUCAGGGUAUCAUAUUCUGACAGUAAAAGAGGAGGAGGAGGAGGAA